Molecule: ribosomal RNA, 467 nt
Filed under: uncultured bacterium
Lineage: Bacteria
Description: partial 16S ribosomal RNA
Rfam family: Bacterial small subunit ribosomal RNA
Source: RNAcentral
GACGAACGCUGGCGGCGUGCUUAACACAUGCAAGUCGAACGGAAAGGCCCUGCUUUUGUGGGGUGCUCGAGUGGCGAACGGGUGAGUAACACGUGAGUAACCUGCCCUUGACUUUGGGAUAACUUCAGGAAACUGGGGCUAAUACCGGAUAGGAGCUCCUGCUGCAUGGUGGGGGUUGGAAAGUUUCGGCGGUUGGGGAUGGACUCGCGGCUUAUCAGCUUGUUGGUGGGGUAGUGGCUUACCAAGGCUUUGACGGGUAGCCGGCCUGAGAGGGUGACCGGCCACAUUGGGACUGAGAUACGGCCCAGACUCCUUCGGGAGGCAGGAGUGGGGAAUAUUGCACAAUGGGCGGAAGCCUGAUGCAGCAACGCCGCGUGCGGGAUGACGGCCUUCGGGUUGUAAACCGCUUUCGCCUGUGACGAAGCGUGAGUGACGGUAAUGGGUAAAGAAGCACCGGCUAACUACGU